This 96-nucleotide transfer RNA is filed under the name Streptomyces cinereoruber. RNAcentral describes it as "tRNA-Leu". Lineage: Bacteria; Bacillati; Actinomycetota; Actinomycetes; Kitasatosporales; Streptomycetaceae. The record is from RNAcentral.
CGCGGGCGUGGUCGAACUCGGCGCGGCCGACGUGCCCGAGAUGCUCGACCUGGUCGCGCGCACGCGGCCGGGGCCGUUCCGGCCGCGCACCCGCGA